GAUGAACGCUGGCGGCGUGCCUAAUACAUGCAAGUCGAGCGAACGGACGAGAAGCUUGCUUCUCUGAUGUUAGCGGCGGACGGGUGAGUAACACGUGGAUAACCUACCUAUAAGACUGGGAUAACUUCGGGAAACCGGAGCUAAUACCGGAUAAUAUUUUGAACCGCAUGGUUCAAAAGUGAAAGACGGUCUUGCUGUCACUUAUAGAUGGAUCCGCGCUGCAUUAGCUAGUUGGUAAGGUAACGGCUUACCAAGGCAACGAUGCAUAGCCGACCUGAGAGGGUGAUCGGCCACACUGGAACUGAGACACGGUCCAGACUCCUACGGGAGGCAGCAGUAGGGAAUCUUCCGCAAUGGGCGAAAGCCUGACGGAGCAACGCUGCGUGAGUGAUGAAGGUCUUCGGAUCGUAAAACUCUGUUAUUAGGGAAGAACAUAUGUGUAAGUAACUGUGCACAUCUUGACGGUACCUAAUCAGAAAGCCACGGCUAACUACGUGCCAGCAGCCGCGGUAAUACGUAGGUGGCAAGCGUUAUCCGGAAUUAUUGGGCGUAAAGCGCGCGUAGGCGGUUUUUUAAGUCUGAUGUGAAAGCCCACGGCUCAACCGUGGAGGGUCAUUGGAAACUGGAAAACUUGAGUGCAGAAGAGGAAAGUGGAAUUCUAUGUGUAGCGGUGAAAUGCGCAGAGAUAUGGAGGAACACCAGUGGCGAAGGCGACUUUCUGGUCUGUAACUGACGCUGAUGUGCGAAAGCGUGGGGAUCAAACAGGAUUAGAUACCCUGGUAGUCCACGCCGUAAACGAUGAGUGCUAAGUGUUAGGGGGUUUCCGCCCCUUAGUGCUGCAGCUAACGCAUUAAGCACUCCGCCUGGGGAGUACGACCGCAAGGUUGAAACUCAAAGGAAUUGACGGGGACCCGCACAAGCGGUGGAGCAUGUGGUUUAAUUCGAAGCAACGCGAAGAACCUUACCAAAUCUUGACAUCCUUUGACAACUCUAGAGAUAGAGCCUUCCCCUUCGGGGGACAAAGUGACAGGUGGUGCAUGGUUGUCGUCAGCUCGUGUCGUGAGAUGUUGGGUUAAGUCCCGCAACGAGCGCAACCCUUAAGCUUAGUUGCCAUCAUUAAGUUGGGCACUCUAAGUUGACUGCCGGUGACAAACCGGAGGAAGGUGGGGAUGACGUCAAAUCAUCAUGCCCCUUAUGAUUUGGGCUACACACGUGCUACAAUGGACAAUACAAAGGGCAGCGAAACCGCGAGGUCAAGCAAAUCCCAUAAAGUUGUUCUCAGUUCGGAUUGUAGUCUGCAACUCGACUACAUGAAGCUGGAAUCGCUAGUAAUCGUAGAUCAGCAUGCUACGGUGAAUACGUUCCCGGGUCU
Molecule: ribosomal RNA, 1372 nt
Filed under: uncultured bacterium
Lineage: Bacteria
Description: bacterial SSU rRNA
Rfam family: Bacterial small subunit ribosomal RNA
Source: RNAcentral